AUGAGCAAGGCCCUGUGCCCACGGUAUCGCGGACUCUCAACCUAUGAGAAGGAAUACUUAGCCGUGGUGGUGGUCGUUGACCAAUGGAGACCUUAUCUCCAGCACAACGAGUUUGUGAUACACACGGAUCAAAAGAGCCUAGUUCACCUGGAGGAGCAACGUCUGACGACGCCAUGGCAGCAAAAGGCCUUCACAAAACUCCUGGGCCUCCGUUACACCAUCAAGUACAAGAAAGGAGUGGAGAACGGCGCAGCUGAUGCUCUUUCUCGAUUAUAUCACUAA
Molecule: ribosomal RNA, 282 nt
Filed under: Triticum aestivum (bread wheat)
Lineage: Eukaryota; Viridiplantae; Streptophyta; Magnoliopsida; Poales; Poaceae
Description: partial small subunit ribosomal RNA
Source: RNAcentral